Molecule: ribosomal RNA, 503 nt
Filed under: uncultured bacterium
Lineage: Bacteria
Description: bacterial SSU rRNA
Rfam family: Bacterial small subunit ribosomal RNA
Source: RNAcentral
AGACGCUGGCGGCGUGCCUAAUACAUGCAAGUCGAACGGUCUUUUCUAUGGAAGCUUGCUUCCGCUGAGAAGAUAGUGGCGAACGGGUGAGUAACACGUGGGUAACCUGCCCAUAAGAGGGGGAUAACAUCCGGAAACGGGUGCUAAUACCGCAUAGUUUUCUUGAUCGCAUGAUCGGGAAAGGAAAGACGGCCUUUGUGCUGUCGCUUAUGGAUGGACCCGCGGCGUAUUAGUUAGUUGGUGAGGUAACGGCUCACCAAGACGAUGAUACGUAGCCGACCUGAGAGGGUGAUCGGCCACAUUGGGACUGAGACACGGCCCAAACUCCUACGGGAGGCAGCAGUAGGGAAUCUUCCGCAAUGGACGAAAGUCUGACGGAGCAACGCCGCGUGAGUGAAGAAGGUUUUCGGAUCGUAAAACUCUGUUGUCAGAGAAGAACAAGUUGGAGAGUAACUGCUCCAGCCUUGACGGUAUCUGACCAGAAAGCCACGGCUAACUACGUG